AUUGAACGCUGGCGGCAGGCCUAACACAUGCAAGUCGAGCGGAUGAAGGGAGCUUGCUCCUGGAUUCAGCGGCGGACGGGUGAGUAAUGCCUAGGAAUCUGCCUGGUAGUGGGGGAUAACGUCCGGAAACGGGCGCUAAUACCGCAUACGUCCUGAGGGAGAAAGUGGGGGAUCUUCGGACCUCACGCUCUCAGAUGAGCCUAGGUCGGAUUAGCUAGUUGGUGGGGUAAAGGCCUACCAAGGCGACGAUCCGUAACUGGUCUGAGAGGAUGAUCAGUCACACUGGAACUGAGACACGGUCCAGACUCCUACGGGAGGCAGCAGUGGGGAAUAUUGGACAAUGGGCGAAAGCCUGAUCCAGCCAUGCCGCGUGUGUGAAGAAGGUCUUCGGAUUGUAAAGCACUUUAAGUUGGGAGGAAGGGCAGUAAGUUAAUACCUUGCUGUUUUGACGUUACCAACAGAAUAAGCACCGGCUAACUACGUG
Molecule: ribosomal RNA, 484 nt
Filed under: uncultured bacterium
Lineage: Bacteria
Description: partial 16S ribosomal RNA
Rfam family: Bacterial small subunit ribosomal RNA
Source: RNAcentral